GUGUUCACAAAUAAAUCCUGAAUUGGAUUUUCCAUCAUCUCAACACACAUAAACAAACAUGCAAUCAUUUUAUGACAGAAUUUGAGAUGGAAAUUUGGGUAAAACCAAAUUAUGUUUAAGUUUGCAAGUUAGACAUAUAUAUCAGUUUAUCGAUAUUCAAUUGAUACCGUACAAAUAUUUAAAUAAUAUUGGACAAGCAUAUCCAUCAACACUUGUGGUCAUUUAAUCCCUAAAGAUGGAUUACUAUCCAUUUAGACCCUGGGAUGAUACACGUAGUGCCAACAAAUGGUAUUGGCUUACUAAUCCCCAC
RNAcentral lists this long non-coding RNA (310 nucleotides) under Setaria viridis. RNAcentral's name for it is "long non-coding RNA (SVIR_LNC007148)". The record is from RNAcentral. Lineage: Eukaryota; Viridiplantae; Streptophyta; Magnoliopsida; Poales; Poaceae.